Molecule: ribosomal RNA, 353 nt
Filed under: uncultured Nitrosospira sp.
Lineage: Bacteria; Pseudomonadati; Pseudomonadota; Betaproteobacteria; Nitrosomonadales; Nitrosomonadaceae
Description: bacterial SSU rRNA
Rfam family: Bacterial small subunit ribosomal RNA
Source: RNAcentral
UAAUACGUAGGGUGCAAGCGUUAAUCGGAAUUACUGGGCGUAAAGCGUGCGCAGGCGGUUUUGUAAGUCAGAUGUGAAAUCCCCGGGCUUAACCUGGGAACUGCGUUUGAAACUACAAGGCUAGAGUGUGGCAGAGGGGGGUGGAAUUCCACGUGUAGCAGUGAAAUGCGUAGAGAUGUGGAGGAACACCGAUGGCGAAGGCAGCCCCCUGGGUUAACACUGACGCUCAGGCACGAAAGCGUGGGGAGCAAACAGGAUUAGAUACCCUGGUAGUCCACGCCCUAAACGAUGUCAACUAGUUGUCGGGUCUUAACGGACUUGGUAACGCAGCUAACGCGUGAAGUUGACCGCCU